This 406-nucleotide long non-coding RNA is filed under the name Mytilus galloprovincialis (Mediterranean mussel). The record is from RNAcentral. Lineage: Eukaryota; Metazoa; Mollusca; Bivalvia; Mytilida; Mytilidae.
UGCAUCAAUCUCUGACAUUUGGUCUAGAUGAAGAGUUUGUCUUAUUGGCAAUCAUAUCACAUCUCCAUAUUUGUUACUUGUUGAAAUAUUAGGUCAUUGCUCCAUUGUUAAAGACCCUGCAUCAAUCUCUGACAUUUUGUCUUCAGAUGAAGAGUUUGUCUUAUUGGCAAUCAUAGCAUAUGCAAUUUAAGACUGUGCCUUUGACUCAUGUGGGGCGGGGAAUAAAGGAUUAUUGAGACUGCUACAAGGGGGAGGGAGGAAGGGAGGGGGAAACCAAGACUAGAAGAAGAGCAUACUGUGAACCAACUCAUUUUUCAGACAAUUUAUUAACGAGACUUCGAGCGAAAAGAAAUAAGCCGAAUAUAAAUCACGAAUAUUUCAAAAUAGAAUUGUCUGUUAAAUGAAG